RNAcentral lists this ribosomal RNA (487 nucleotides) under uncultured bacterium. RNAcentral's name for it is "bacterial SSU rRNA". It matches the Rfam family "Bacterial small subunit ribosomal RNA", at positions 501 to 987 of the family's 1533-position model. The record is from RNAcentral.
CUACGUGCCAGCAGCCGCGGUAAUACGUAGGGUGCGAGCGUUAAUCGGAAUUACUGGGCGUAAAGCGAGCGCAGACGGUUACUUAAGCAGGAUGUGAAAUCCCCGGGCUCAACCUGGGAACUGCGUUCUGAACUGGGUGACUAGAGUGUGUCAGAGGGAGGUGGAAUUCCACGUGUAGCAGUGAAAUGCGUAGAGAUGUGGAGGAAUACCGAUGGCGAAGGCAGCCUCCUGGGAUAACACUGACGUUCAUGCUCGAAAGCGUGGGUAGCAAACAGGAUUAGAUACCCUGGUAGUCCACGCCCUAAACGAUGUCAAUUAGCUGUUGGGCAACUUGAUUGCUUAGUAGCGUAGCUAACGCGUGAAAUUGACCGCCUGGGGAGUACGGUCGCAAGAUUAAAACUCAAAGGAAUUGACGGGGACCCGCACAAGCGGUGGAUGAUGUGGAUUAAUUCGAUGCAACGCGAAGAACCUUACCUGGUCUUGACAU